UACGUAGGGACCAAGCGUUGUUCGGAUUUACUGGGCGUAAAGGGCGCGUAGGCGGCGUAGUCAGUCACUUGUGAAAUCUCCGAGCUUAACUCGGAACGGUCAAGUGAUACUGCUCUGCUAGAGUGCGGAAGGGGCAAUCGGAAUUCUUGGUGUAGCGGUGAAAUGCGUAGAUAUCAAGAGGAACACCUGAGGUGAAGACGGGUUGCUGGGCCGACACUGACGCUGAGGCGCGAAAGCCAGGGGAGCAAACGGG
RNAcentral lists this ribosomal RNA (253 nucleotides) under uncultured bacterium. RNAcentral describes it as "partial 16S ribosomal RNA". It matches the Rfam family "Bacterial small subunit ribosomal RNA", at positions 524 to 776 of the family's 1533-position model. The record is from RNAcentral.